Molecule: ribosomal RNA, 492 nt
Filed under: uncultured bacterium
Lineage: Bacteria
Description: partial 16S ribosomal RNA
Rfam family: Bacterial small subunit ribosomal RNA
Source: RNAcentral
AGUGAACGCUGGCGGUAGGCCUAACACAUGCAAGUCGAACGGCAGCACAGUAAGAGCUUGCUCUUACGGGUGGCGAGUGGCGGACGGGUGAGGAAUACAUCGGAAUCUACUUUUUCGCGGGGGAUAACGUAGGGAAACUUACGCUAAUACCGCAUACGACCUACGGGUGAAAGCAGGGGAUCUUCGCACCUUGCGCGAUUGAAUGAGCCGAUGUCGGAUUAGCUAGUUGGCGGGGUAAAGGCCCACCAAGGCGACGAUCCGUAGCUGGUCUGAGAGGAUGGUCAGCCACACUGGAACUGAGACACGGUCCAGACGCCUACGGGAGGCAGCAGUGGGGAAUAUUGGACAAUGGGCGCAAGCCUGAUCCAGCCAUACCGCGUGGGUGAAGAAGGCCUUCGGGUUGUAAAGCCCUUUUGUUGGGAAAGAAAAGCAGCAGGUUAAUACCCCGCUGUUCUGACGGUACCCAAAGAAUAAGCACCGGCUAACUUCGUG